Molecule: ribosomal RNA, 452 nt
Filed under: uncultured bacterium
Lineage: Bacteria
Description: bacterial SSU rRNA
Rfam family: Bacterial small subunit ribosomal RNA
Source: RNAcentral
AUUGAACGCUAGCGGGAUGCCUUACACAUGCAAGUCGAACGGCAGCGCGGACUUCGGUCUGGCGGCGAGUGGCGAACGGGUGAGUAAUGUAUCGGAACGUGCCCAGUAGCGGGGGACAACCACUCGAAAGAGUGGCUAAUACCGCAUACGCCCUACGGGGAAAGGGGGGAGUCGCAAGACCUCUCACUAUUGGAGCGGCCGAUAUCGGAUUAGCUAGUUGGUGGGGUAAAGGCCUACCAAGGCGACGAUCCGUAGCUGGUUUGAGAGGACGACCAGCCACACUGGGACUGAGACACGGCCCAGACUCCUACGGGAGGCAGCAGUGGGGAAUUUUGGACAAUGGGGGAAACCCUGAUCCAGCCAUUCCGCGUGUGCGAUGAAGGCCUCGGUUGUAAGCACUUUGGCAGGAAGAAAUCGUGUGGGUUAAUAACCCUGCGCGGAGUGACGGUACC